Molecule: transfer RNA, 88 nt
Filed under: Deltaproteobacteria bacterium HGW-Deltaproteobacteria-6
Lineage: Bacteria; Deltaproteobacteria
Description: tRNA-Leu
Rfam family: tRNA
About the family: Transfer RNA (tRNA) molecules are approximately 80 nucleotides in length. Their secondary structure includes four short double-helical elements and three loops (D, anti-codon, and T loops).
Source: RNAcentral
GCCUGGGUGGCGGAACUGGUAGACGCAAGGGACUUAAAAUCCCUCGGUCCUUGCGGCUGUGUGGGUUCAAUUCCCACCCCAGGUACCA